This is a long non-coding RNA of Ornithorhynchus anatinus (platypus), 177 nucleotides long. RefSeq lists it as uncharacterized. The record is from RefSeq and is a predicted model, not a curated record. The transcript has 3 exons. NCBI's taxonomy places the organism in Eukaryota, Metazoa, Chordata, Mammalia, Monotremata, Ornithorhynchidae.
UCGUAACCAUCAAAAUGACGCGGCUGCAGCUCUACGUCGGGGGAGUUAUGCAUCCGUCCCACCAUAACUGCGACCCCAAAUCACCACACAGUAUCCUGCUGGUGGGCUUUGGAUUCAGUAAUAAUUCCUCUCACUGGAUCCUGAAGAAUUCUUGGGGCCCGGGAUGGGUAGAGAAGG